Molecule: long non-coding RNA, 226 nt
Filed under: Lathyrus oleraceus (garden pea)
Lineage: Eukaryota; Viridiplantae; Streptophyta; Magnoliopsida; Fabales; Fabaceae
Description: Pisum sativum (pea) long non-coding RNA (PSAT_LNC015388)
Source: RNAcentral
GAAUUGUCUGUGCUACUUUUUCUUCUUUCCAAUUUGCUCUAGAUGUUUUCCUGAUUUGUGAAUAAAAAAGAAGUAAUGUUGAUACCGAACUUCGCAUACACAAUCAGAAAAUACCAUUUAGCACUCCGCCAAGUACAAAACAAAAUAAGAUUAAAAAUUAAAAAUAUAAUACAAUGAAAAUAUAAUAAUGAAAUUAAAUUAAAAUUAAAUAAAAAUAAAUAGAAAA